Molecule: ribosomal RNA, 405 nt
Filed under: uncultured bacterium
Lineage: Bacteria
Description: bacterial SSU rRNA
Rfam family: Bacterial small subunit ribosomal RNA
Source: RNAcentral
UAUUGGGGAAGACUAAUGACGGUACCUCCGGAAUAAGCUUCGGCGGAUAGGGUCCCAGCAGCCUCGGUAAUACGUAGGAAGCGAGCGUUAUCCGGAAUUACUGGGCGUAAAGGGCGCGUAGGUGGUCUUUCAAGUGAAAUGUGAAAUUUCACGGCUUAACCGGGAAGGGUCAUUCGAUACUGUUGAAUUAGAGAGCAGCAGGGGGAAGCGGAAUUCCCUGGGUAGUACUGAAAUGCGUAGAUAUCGGGAGGAACACCAGUGCGAAGACGGCUUCCUGGGCUGUUUCUGACACUGAGGCGCGAAAGUGUGGGUAGUCCACAGAAUUAGAUACUGAGGUAGUCCACACCGUAAACGAUGGUUAUUAGUUAUAGGGAGUAUGGACCCUCUGAGUGCCGCAGCUAACGC